GCCUAUCAUUCAGUUGGGCACUCUAGCGAGACUGCCGGUAAUAAACCGGAGGAAGUGGGGAUGACGUCAAAUCAUCAUGCCCCUUAUGACCUGGGCUACACACGUGCUACAAUGGUUGGUACAACGAGUUGCGAGUCGGUGACGGCGAGCUAAUCUCUUAAAGCCAAUCUCAGUUCGGAUUGUAGGCUGCAACUCGCCUACAUGAAGUCGGAAUCGCUAGUAAUCGCGGAUCAGCACGCCGCGGUGAAUACGUUCCCGGGCCUU
This 264-nucleotide ribosomal RNA is filed under the name uncultured Streptococcus sp. RNAcentral describes it as "partial 16S ribosomal RNA". It matches the Rfam family "Bacterial small subunit ribosomal RNA", at positions 1117 to 1382 of the family's 1533-position model. The record is from RNAcentral. Lineage: Bacteria; Bacillati; Bacillota; Bacilli; Lactobacillales; Streptococcaceae.